CUGGCUCAGGAUGAACGCUAGCUACAGGCUUAACACAUGCAAGUAGAGGGCAGCAUUAGAGAAGCUUCGGCUUAUUAGAUGGCGACCCGCGAAUGGGUGAGUAACACGUAUCCAACCUGGCUGUUACUGGAGGAUAGCCUCCCGAAAGGGAAAGUAAGACUCCAUAGUAUGAUUGCAAGACAUCUUGUGAUGAUUAAAGGUUACGGUAACAGAUGGGGAUGCGUCCCAUUAGGCAGUUGGCGGGGUAACGGCCCACCAAACCGACGAUGGGUAGGGGUUCUGAGAGGAAGGUCCCCCACAUUGGAACUGAGACACGGUCCAAACUCCUACGGGAGGCAGCAGUGAGGAAUAUUGGUCAAUGGACGGAAGUCUGAACCAGCCAAGUAGCCGUGCAGGAAGACGGCCCUAUGGGUUGUAAACUGCUUUUAUACGAGGGUAAAGUGUGCCACGAGUGGCAUAUUGCAAGUAUCGUAAGAAAAAGGAUCGGCUAAUUCCGUGCCAGCCGCCGC
Molecule: ribosomal RNA, 509 nt
Filed under: uncultured bacterium
Lineage: Bacteria
Description: bacterial SSU rRNA
Rfam family: Bacterial small subunit ribosomal RNA
Source: RNAcentral